UGGAUGUUGGUGCUUCAAAGUGGGUA
This 26-nucleotide non-coding RNA is filed under the name Homo sapiens (human). The record is from RNAcentral. Lineage: Eukaryota; Metazoa; Chordata; Mammalia; Primates; Hominidae.